Long non-coding RNA from Thalassophryne amazonica, 582 nucleotides. RefSeq lists it as uncharacterized. Lineage: Eukaryota; Metazoa; Chordata; Actinopteri; Batrachoidiformes; Batrachoididae. The transcript has 3 exons. The record is from RefSeq and is a predicted model, not a curated record.
UUACACCCUCAUGUAAAUUAGGGCUGCACGAUAUUGGAAAUUAGUGCGAUAUGCGAUAUGGAUGUCUAGUAUUGCGAUAACGAUAUUGUCGCGAUAUUUUUUCUUUUUACCUAAAAAUGCAAUAUACAUGACCAAUAAGAAAAAAUAUCUAUAAAAUUUAUACAAACAACAAAUAUGCAUUUCAAAUAUUGCAUUUAUUUACAUUUUUUUUUUUAAUCUUUAACACUUACCAAUUGCCAGAUGCAGGCGAUGGCCAAAGCACUGCACUCUGAACCAGUUGUUGACCUCGGCAGCCUUCACCACGUUUGCUCCGUUAUCUGUUGUGAUGGCCACUUGUUUGUGUGGCUGUGUAGGUUUGUCGUGUUUCCUCUCGACGUAGCCACUAUUUUUCAGCAUGACUUGCAAAGAACUUGUGUCUGUGAUUCGUCCUGUGUGGAAAAACCGAAGUAGUCCCAAAUUCCGGCGGUGUAGUGACUUUUAGGAACAAGUUGCUCUCUGUUUUCGUCUCCAUUCAUCUCUUCCUUCCCCGCCAUGCUUGUCUUCCUUCUGUGUGUGUACGGGCUCACUGCUCCACUGAGAGCA